RNAcentral lists this ribosomal RNA (494 nucleotides) under uncultured bacterium. Its description in RNAcentral is "partial 16S ribosomal RNA". It matches the Rfam family "Bacterial small subunit ribosomal RNA", at positions 28 to 507 of the family's 1533-position model. The record is from RNAcentral.
GACGAACGCUGGCGGCGCGCUUAACACAUGCAAGUCGAACGGAAAGGCCUGCUUUCCCUUGUGGAUUGCGGGUACUCGAGUGGCGAACGGGUGAGUAACACGUGAGUGAUCUGCCCCCAACUUGGGUAUAAGCCUGGGAAGCUGGGUCUAAUUCCCGAUAGGACUGCAGGGUGGUGCCUGUGGUGGAAAACGAUUUUCUAGUGGUUGGGGAUGAGCUCGCGGCCUAUCAGCUUGUUGGUGGGGUAAUGGCCUACCAAGGCGGCGACGGGUAGCCGGCCUGAGAGGGUGGACGGCCACAUUGGGACUGAGAUACGGCCCAGACUCCUACGGGAGGCAGCAGUGGGGAAUAUUGCACAAUGGGCGGAAGCCUGAUGCAGCGACGCCGCGUGGGGGAUGACGGCCUUCGGGUUGUAAACUCCUUUCGACCGCGAGGAAGCCACCUGGUUGGAAGGGUGGUGACGGUAGUGGUAGAAGAAGCACCGGCUAACUACGUG